RNAcentral lists this ribosomal RNA (425 nucleotides) under uncultured bacterium. Its description in RNAcentral is "bacterial SSU rRNA". It matches the Rfam family "Bacterial small subunit ribosomal RNA", at positions 354 to 796 of the family's 1533-position model. The record is from RNAcentral.
GUGGGGAAUCUUGGACAAUGGGGGCAACCCUGAUCCAGCCAUGCCGCGUGAUCGAUGAAGGCCUUAGGGUUGUAAAGAUCUUUCAGCGGGGAAGAUAAUGACGGUACCCGCAGAAGAAGCCCCGGCUAACUCCGUGCCAGCAGCCGCGGUAAUACGGAGGGGGCUAGCGUUGUUCGGAAUUACUGGGCGUAAAGCGCACGUAGGCGGAUUGGAAAGUUGGGGGUGAAAUCCCAGGGCUCAACCCUGGAACUGCCUCCAAAACUUCCAGUCUUGAGUCCGAGAGAGGUGAGUGGAAUUCCGAGUGUAGAGGUGAAAUUCGUAGAUAUUCGGAGGAACACCAGUGGCGAAGGCGGCUCACUGGCUCGGUACUGACGCUGAGGUGCGAAAGCGUGGGGAGCAAACAGGAUUAGAAACCCUAGUAGUCC